CGUCACCUUCACCACCCCCACCUUACAUCUACAAGUCUCCUCCUCCACCAUCACCUUCACCACCCCCACCCUACAUCUACAAGUCUCCUCCUCCACCAUCACCUUCUCCACCACCUCCCUACUACUAUCACUCUCCACCUCCACCCGUAAAGUCUCCUCCUCCUCCUUAUUACUACAGCUCGCCUCCUCCACCGGUAAAAUCGCCUCCUCCCCCGGCGUACAUUUACGCUUCACCACCACCACCAGUCCACUACUAAAAGUUUCUAAGAGUGCAGUCAUUCUCCACAAUCAAUCAAAUUUUAGUUUGAAACACAAAAUAAAUGAUGGCUUCUUGAGGAAUAGAUUCAAACGUCAAUGGUUCAAAGCAAUUAAUUUAUGGAAUAACAUUUUCAAUCUUUUAAUUGAAGGGUUGAUUCUUCAUGACAUGGACAUAUUUGAUUCUACUUCUCUUUUGUCCUUCUUGCACAUUGUUCUCUUAGUGCGUUCACAUGAACGUAUCUAGGCUUUGAUGCUUCUUAGAGUUUGUUUCUUUGUAACUUAUUAUUUGUAUUGAGGAUAUUGUCCUCUUUUAUUCAUUCUUAUUAAUUAUUACUGAAUGUUGUUCUCGUAACACCUUUAUGUACUUUGUGCAUUAAUCAAUAAGAAGAUCAAUUUUAUUA
Non-coding RNA from Solanum lycopersicum (tomato), 659 nucleotides. The record is from RefSeq and is a predicted model, not a curated record. Lineage: Eukaryota; Viridiplantae; Streptophyta; Magnoliopsida; Solanales; Solanaceae.